Molecule: ribosomal RNA, 418 nt
Filed under: uncultured bacterium
Lineage: Bacteria
Description: bacterial SSU rRNA
Rfam family: Bacterial small subunit ribosomal RNA
Source: RNAcentral
UGGGGAAUAUUGGGGCAAUGGGCGAAAGCCUGACCCAGCAACGCCGCGUGAGGGAAGAAGGUUUUCGGAUUGUAAACCUCUGUCCUAAGGGACGAAGGAAGUGACGGUACCUUAGGAGGAAGCCCCGGCUAACUACGUGCCAGCAGCCGCGGUAAUACGUAGGGGGCGAGCGUUGUCCGGAAUGACUGGGCGUAAAGGGCGUGUAGGCGGCCGAUUAAGUGUGGAGUGAAAGUCCAUAUUUCAAGUAUGGAAUUGCUUUGCAGACUGGUUGGCUUGAGUGCGGAAGAGGUAAGUGGAAUUCCCAGUGUGGCGGUGAAAUGCGUAGAGAUUGGGAGGAACACCAGUGGCGAAGGCGACUUACUGGGCCGUAACUGACGCUGAGGCGCGAAAGCGUGGGGAGCGAACAGGAUUAGAUACC